GAGGCGGAGCAGGGCGGAUGCACAAAGGCGGGGCCGUGCCGGGCCGUUCCGUUCCGUUUGGGUCCAUUUGGGGCCGUUUGGGGCUGUUUGGGGCCGGGGGGGUGUCAGGAUGCCGCUGUCGGCGCUGCGGGGCUGGGCUCUGGCCGUGCUGGCGGCCCUGACCCCGGCGGAGCGCAGCCGGCCCUACGCCGUGCUGCAGAAACAGAACCUGGUGCUGCUGGGCAGCAUCCUCAGCGCGCUGCUGCUCACCAUCGUGCUCGUGGCCGUCUGCGUCUACAAACCCGUCCGCAGGCGGUAGCGGCCCCGGCGUCGUGUGUGCGGCCCCGCCCGGCUCUGGGAUUCACACCUCGGGAUUCAGCACAACCUCUGGAACCAGUGGUGGAGCGCUCACGGCUUCAGGUGGUGUCUGGUGAGGGAUGGAUGCUCUGCGCCCACGUCCCGGGGCUCCCCGCUGCCAUCGCUGUCCUGGAGGGCACCGCUUGGCAUCGCCGCCCGGCCAUCAGCUCACGCUGCAUCAGGUUGUUCUGUCCGGUGAACUCGGCUCCUUGCUCGGAGGCUGCACUGGAAGGGGCUCGGUGCAGCCUUCCAGAAGCCUCGAGGACCGAAGCCGAGCGAGCGCCGGGGGCUGCGUGGAGCAGGAGCGCGCCCACCUCCGGGCAGCGGCACUGAGGCACGAGCAGAGGCCGGCCUGGCCGCUCACACCAGGCUUGUCCUAGCCUCAAGCAGCCCUGCAGCAGCCUCGGUGAACCCACGGCUCCCCAGCCCUCGCCCCCCGUGGGAGAUGCGCUCCUGGGUGUUGGCUGGGGGUCGGGGAGCCCCCGGUGUCUGCCGGAGCACGAGGCUGCUGGGCUGUGGCUGGCUGGGCGCGCUUUGUGCUUAGGCUGCCCAGAGCCAUUCUAUGCAUUUCUGGCAACAAAUUCAAGUGUUUACACUGAAAUCUCACUUGCAUACGGAUGCUGCUAUUUUGUUUUGCACUGCUGUGAGUAGUAACUGGAUUUUGCUUAUGAAGUAUUACUUUGAUAUUUAACAUAGGGGGUUUGGGGCUAGUAAUUUAUUUCAGUAUUUUAAAACCUUACUUCCAGAGCCAAUGUGUUGACCAACUCUCUAAAACCUUGUGCUGCAUCUGAUGUUUUCUGCUGUUAGUCUCAAAGGACACUGGCUCCUCUUGGAACCGGGGAUUUUCUUUGCUGCUGUUACUAAAUGAGGCCAGCCUAGGACAGUUCUCGUUUCUAAUCCAAGUGAAAGACGAGUGAGGGAGCAAGCUAACUGUAAUAUUUCUUUCUCAUCUUUUCCUUUCUUGGUUGCAGAGUCCUUUAUCACUGUUUUUCCCCUGAAUCCUUCAGUUGUUGUAGAGCUCUGCCCGUAGUCAUGUGCUGCUCACAGGUGGAGGAGGAUGGUGUAGCUCAUAGCUACAGCUCCUCGUCCCUGCAGCAGUGUUCCUGUUUGCAUUCAUUCUUCACUCCCUGCUGUGUGUCUCUGUACAAAUAAAAAGCUAAGUAAACAA
This is a non-coding RNA of Anas platyrhynchos (mallard), 1504 nucleotides long. The record is from RefSeq and is a predicted model, not a curated record. NCBI's taxonomy places the organism in Eukaryota, Metazoa, Chordata, Aves, Anseriformes, Anatidae.